GGCGCGUAGGCGGGGAUGUAAGUCAGAUGUGAAAUACCAUGGCUCAACUGUGGGGCUGCAUCUGAAACUAUGUUUCUUGAGUGCUGGAGAGGAAAGCGGAAUUCCUAGUGUAGCGGUGAAAUGCGUAGAUAUUAGGAGGAACACCAGUGGCGAAGGCGGCUUUCUGGACAGUAACUGACGCUGAGGCGCGAAAGCGUGGGGAGCGAACAGGAUUAGAUACCCUGGUAGUCCACGCCGUAAACGAUGGAUACUAGGUGUAGGAGGUAUCGACCCCUUCUGUGCCGGAGUAAACACAAUAAGUAUCCCACCUGGGGAGUACGGCCGCAAGGUUGAAACUCAAAGGAAUUGACGGGGGCCCGCACAAGCAGUGGAGUAUGUGGUUUAAUUCGAAGCAACGCGAAGAACCUUACCAGGGCUUGACAUACUAGGGGAUAUACCAGAGAUGGUAUAGUCCUUCGGGACUCUAGUACAGGUGGUGCAUGGUUGUCGUCAGCUCGUGCCGUGAGAUGUUGGGUUAAGUCCCGCAACGAGCGCAACCCUUGUUGUUAGUUGGUAACACGUGAAGGUGACCACUCUAACGAGACUGCCGGUGACAAAUCGGAGGAAGGUGGGGACGA
This 617-nucleotide ribosomal RNA is filed under the name uncultured bacterium. RNAcentral's name for it is "bacterial SSU rRNA". It matches the Rfam family "Bacterial small subunit ribosomal RNA", at positions 566 to 1182 of the family's 1533-position model. The record is from RNAcentral.